GCAUUAAUCUCAAUGGAUAAAAAGCAUUUCCUUCGAUACAGAGAAGAUUAGCCUGGCCCCUGCGCAAUGAUGACAUGCAAAUUCAUGUAGCGUUCCAUUAAAAA
Echinops telfairi (small Madagascar hedgehog) is the source of this 104-nucleotide small nuclear RNA. The record is from Ensembl. NCBI's taxonomy places the organism in Eukaryota, Metazoa, Chordata, Mammalia, Afrosoricida, Tenrecidae.